RNAcentral lists this long non-coding RNA (899 nucleotides) under Setaria viridis. Its description in RNAcentral is "long non-coding RNA (SVIR_LNC010251)". The record is from RNAcentral. Lineage: Eukaryota; Viridiplantae; Streptophyta; Magnoliopsida; Poales; Poaceae.
UGUCAAACUGCAGGACACUUCCAUGUGUUAGGCCUCUAGGUGCACCCAUUCGGCGCCAAACGUCUUCCUGGCUGCUUGCGCUUGGUGAGCUAACCAAAAACCGCCUCCAUGGACAGCUAACUCCAUUGACCAGUAGCUCAACGGCCAACCAACCUCUUCACUCCUGCACUUGCAUUGCCGCCGUCUCCUCCUAUAAAAACACCCCUCCUGCAACCCUCACUUCGCACCACGCAAAACACAUUCCGACGAUCCAACACAGAACAUAAAGCUAUCAGCAGCAUCAGCUCGCUAGCUCGACCAGAUGGCUUCGUCCCUGACCGUGUCGACGACGACGGCGACCGGGGCGGCGGCCGGCACCGCCGCGGCCAACAAGCAGCGCGAGGGCGCGGAGGUCAUCACAGGCGCGGAGGCGUGCUUCGCGCACUCCAAGGAGAUGCUCAAGGCGCUGGGGUUCCCGGGCGGGGUGAUGCCGCUGCGGGGGCUGGAGGAGUGCGGGUGGGUGAAGGAGACCGGGUUCGUGUGGAUGCGGCAGAAGGCGCCCUACGAGCACUACUUCCGGGGCACGGGCACCCGGGUGCGCUACGACGCCGAGGUCACCGCGUACGUGGAGGAGGGCCGGAUGAAGCGCAUGACGGGGGUGCGCAGCAAGCAGGUCCUGCUCUGGGUGCCCAUCGUCGAGAUGAGCCUCGACGGCGAGAAGCGCGACAAGAUCUACUUCAAGUCCAACGUCGGGAUCGGCCGAUCGUUCCCCGCCUCCGCGUUCGCCGACGAGGAGGAGAAGGAAGAGAAGGAGGAGGGCGGCGACAAGCCCGCCGGUGCCGACGAGGAGAAGAAGGGGGAGGUGGGCGGCGACAAGCCCGCUGAUGCCGACGCCGCCACCAAGUGAGAGCGCGGGGCGU